RNAcentral lists this ribosomal RNA (239 nucleotides) under uncultured Lactobacillus sp. RNAcentral describes it as "partial 16S ribosomal RNA". It matches the Rfam family "Bacterial small subunit ribosomal RNA", at positions 122 to 355 of the family's 1533-position model. Lineage: Bacteria; Bacillati; Bacillota; Bacilli; Lactobacillales; Lactobacillaceae. The record is from RNAcentral.
UAACCUGCCCAAGAGAUCGGGAUAACACCUGAAACAGAUGCUAAUACCGGAUAACAACAGAUGAUGCCUAUCAACUGUUUAAAAGAUGGUUCUGCUAUCACUCUUGGAUGGACCUGCGGUGCAUUAGCUAGUUGGUAGGGUAACGGCCUACCAAGGCGAUGAUGCAUAGCCGAGUUGAGAGACUGAUCGGCCACAUUGGGACUGAGACACGGCCCAAACUCCUACGGGAGGCAGCAGUC